AUUGAACGCUGGCGGCAGGCCUAACACAUGCAAGUCGAGCGGAUGAAGGGAGCUUGCUCCUGGAUUCAGCGGCGGACGGGUGAGUAAUGCCUAGGAAUCUGCCUGGUAGUGGGGGAUAACGUCCGGAAACGGGCGCUAAUACCGCAUACGUCCUGAGGGAGAAAGUGGGGGAGCUUCGGACCUCACGCUAUCAGAUGAGCCUAGGUCGGAUUAGCUAGGUGGUGGGGUAAAGGCCUACCAAGGCGACGAUCCGUAACUGGUCUGAGAGGAUGAUCAGUCACACUGGAACUUAGACACGGUCACGACUCCUGCGGGAGGCAGCAGUGGGGAAUAUUGGACAAUGGGCGAAAACCUGAUCCAGCCAUGCCGCGUGUGUGAAGAAGGUCUUCGGAUUGUAAAGCACUUUAAGUUGGGAGGAAGGGCAGUAAGUUAAUACCUUGCUGUUUUGACGUUACCAACAGAAUAAGCACCGGCUAACUUCGUG
This 484-nucleotide ribosomal RNA is filed under the name uncultured bacterium. RNAcentral describes it as "partial 16S ribosomal RNA". It matches the Rfam family "Bacterial small subunit ribosomal RNA", at positions 30 to 507 of the family's 1533-position model. The record is from RNAcentral.